AACGAACGCUGGCGGCAGGCCUAACACAUGCAAGUCGAGCGAGAUCUCCGGGUCUAGCGGCGGACGGGUGAGUAACGCGUGGGAAUAUGCCUCUUGGUACGGAAUAGCCUCGGGAAACUGGGAGUAAUACCGUAUGUGCCCUUUGGGGGAAAGAUUUAUCGCCAAGAGAUUAGCCCGCGUUGGAUUAGGUAGUUGGUGGGGUAAUGGCCUACCAAGCCGACGAUCCAUAGCUGGUUUGAGAGGAUGAUCAGCCACACUGGGACUGAGACACGGCCCAGACUCCUACGGGAGGCAGCAGUGGGGAAUCUUAGACAAUGGGGGCAACCCUGAUCUAGCCAUGCCGCGUGAGUGAUGAAGGCCUUAGGGUUGUAAAGCUCUUUCAGCUGGGAAGAUAAUGACGGUACCAGCAGAAGAAGCCCCGGCUAACUCCGUG
Molecule: ribosomal RNA, 433 nt
Filed under: uncultured bacterium
Lineage: Bacteria
Description: partial 16S ribosomal RNA
Rfam family: Bacterial small subunit ribosomal RNA
Source: RNAcentral